UUUCUUUACGCCGACCUCAGAGCAGUUGAG
RNAcentral lists this ribosomal RNA (30 nucleotides) under Calopteryx virgo meridionalis. Its description in RNAcentral is "partial 28S ribosomal RNA". Lineage: Eukaryota; Metazoa; Arthropoda; Insecta; Odonata; Calopterygidae. The record is from RNAcentral.